RNA transcript from Magnolia sinica, 1926 nucleotides. RefSeq lists it as uncharacterized. Lineage: Eukaryota; Viridiplantae; Streptophyta; Magnoliopsida; Magnoliales; Magnoliaceae. The record is from RefSeq and is a predicted model, not a curated record. The transcript is spliced from 7 exons.
CUAAAUGCACCAUUUAAGAAACAGUGGAUAGCAUAUGUACAACUAUGCUAUUUUGAAGGAUAACAAAAGUCACAUCCUUUAUUUAUUUUUUUAUUUGAAUGCAAUAGUUGUGAUUUUGUACAUUCACUUGAUUGAAUCUGAAAUGGAUUUUUGUCUUUUUCAGUCUUGAUGGACAUGGUGUUUCAAAAGGUUGUGCUGUUAACAAUUACAAUCAAUUUACUUAUUUUCAUUUCCUUGUUUCAUAGAUUGUUGUUCACAAGAGUAGCCGAAGAGGGACACAUUUUCGACGUGCCGGGCCUCGCCAAAAGGUGUUGUUUAUCCCAACAUGCAUGUAGUUGGAAACCCUGAAACAUCAUAUAAACCUUACUCACUUCGCCAAAAGCUUCGCUCAAUUUCACUCUCAUUGGAUGCGCUCCUGGAUUAUAAUGACAAGGAUAUUGAGGAAUCAACAUUUGAGGUAUCUCAAAAGGGCAAGAUAGGAAUAACAUUGAUUUCCCACUGGAUGGUCCCCUUCUCUGCAUCUAAGGUGAAUGAUGAUGCAGCUCAAAGAGCUAUCGACUUCAUGUUGGGAUGGUCGAAACAUCACUUUUUGCAAUGAGUAUGAGGAGACCUCCUGCUUCCCUAUUACCCGAACUUGAUACCUCCUCUUGCAAAUUAGAUCUAGUAAAUGAAAUUGUAAACAGGUCCUCGCCCCAUGCCUCCACAUGAUGCCGAGGCAGAAAGCUGGUCCUGAUAAUACGAAGGUGAGAAAGCAUCCGAUGAAAAUCAGUUCUCCUUCUUAGCCUGUUACUUUUUCUUUGCAAAUUACUGUAUGCUGGGUUGAUAUUUCUUAUUGACAUGAACAGUUUCUUUGUUGAUUUGCAGAAAAUGGAGGGAGGGUAACUACUGAUGUAUGGGUUCCAGGGAAUACCAGGAAUCCUGAAACAUGUGUUUUAAAAGACCAGGUACAUAAAAUAUCUGUUUCUGUUCUGAAGGUGCUCCUUCACUAAAUCUGAUUACUAAACUUGUUUAUUGGGAAUGAAUUUUGCAUGUGCAAUUCUAAAUAAACAAUUCCAGAGAAGUGUUUAUUGGAAUCAUUUUUUCCAUUGCUAGAAGCAACACUAAACAGGCCCUAUGCUUGUACAUUUUGGUGGAGCGAAACAGAAGACAUGUUCAGUGUUUCUACUGAUAAUGGCGGAUUGAGGCAUUAUCGUGACUUGCAGGAGUCGCUACAACGUGUUUGUCGAUUUACUGGAUGUCUUUCUACUGUAGCUAUUCUCCCAAGUGAGACCCUUUUUUUUCUGCUGUUUGUCGAUUUACCAAAUGUCUUUCUGCUGUUUGUCGAUUUACUGCACCUACCAAGUCAGUUUGCUUUGCCCCCAAACUUUGUAAUGCCAUUUUGUUAGAUCCAUCUUACAGGUGAAACUACGAAAAAGAUUGUGUGGAGGCUACAAUGCCAGAGCUGCAAACAUGUCUCCCAACACCCAAUUUAAGCAUAGGUGGACUGGUAGAUAUGAAGCCCAUCUAUGGGACAACAGCUGCAAGAAGGAAGGCCAAACUAGAAUAGGAAGGCAAGGUUAGUAAAACAAUAGGGGGAUAACCAUUUUCAGCAUUGUUGGUUUUCCCUUUUGCUUUUCCUUUUUUUUUUUUUUGGUUGAGUUUUUUGAAUUGUUGGCCUGACUGCUAAGAUAUGUGGUUUGUCUGGUUUUUUGCAUGUGCGAUUGCAAUCCAAUUGAAUGCCUAGCAGUUUAUUUGGGGGGGUAUGAUAUUGAAGAGAAAGCUACAAGAGCUUACGACUUAGCGGCGCUCAAGUAUUGGGGAUCUUCAACUCAUAUCAACUUCCCGGUAUAUGAUUCAUAGCAAGCGAAAUGGAUUAAUCUAUCAAUCUCUCUUUACCGAAACUGUGGUUCUCGUGUUUUCUGAUGUUGGCCUCAAUGGAUUCUUUGC